RNAcentral lists this ribosomal RNA (495 nucleotides) under uncultured bacterium. RNAcentral describes it as "partial 16S ribosomal RNA". It matches the Rfam family "Bacterial small subunit ribosomal RNA", at positions 28 to 507 of the family's 1533-position model. The record is from RNAcentral.
GACGAACGCUGGCGGCGUGCCUAAUACAUGCAAGUUGAACGCUGAAGGUUGAUCUUUCUCUUCUGUAUGAGUUGCGAACGCGUGAGUAUCGCGUAGGUAACCUGCCUGUUAGCGGGGGAUAACUCUUGGAAACGCUAGCUAAUACCGCAUAUCAGUAGAUGUUGCAUGACUUUUACUUAUAAGGUGCACUUUCAUCUCUACCAGAUGUCCUUGCGUUGUAUUAGCUAGUUGGUGUGGUAACGGCUCACCAAGGCGACGAUACAUAGCCGACCUGAGAGGGUGAUCGGCCACACUGGGACUGAGACACGGCCCAGACUCCUACGGGAGGCAGCAGUAGGGAAUCUUCGGAAAUGGACGGAAGUCUGACCGAGCAACGCCGCGGGAGUGAAGAAGGUUGUCGGAUCGUAAAGCUCUGUUGGAAGAGAAGAACGAGGGUGAGAGUGGAAAGUUCACAAUGUGACGGUAACUGACCAGAAAGGGACGGCUAACUACGUG